Bombus huntii is the source of this 5157-nucleotide long non-coding RNA. RefSeq lists it as uncharacterized. The record is from RefSeq and is a predicted model, not a curated record. The transcript is spliced from 2 exons. NCBI's taxonomy places the organism in Eukaryota, Metazoa, Arthropoda, Insecta, Hymenoptera, Apidae.
UCUUAAUACUUUUGGCAAAUAUAUUGUACAUGAUUUUUCUAUACCUAUGUUUCAUUCACAAAUAGCAGUAAGUAAGCAUAGACAAAAUAGCAUCUGAAAUGACGUUUGCAUAAAUGUUAAAAAACUCCAAGAGAAGUGCUGUCGUUUGUUAGUUUUCUUCUUUUUGUUUUGUUUAGUAACUAACAGUAAAACGAUUGCGUAUUUGCGUCAGAAUAAAUAAGAGCGAGUGAGUUAUUAAAUAUUUCUUAGGAACUAUGUACGUCUUUACGUCAUUGAACACCGUUAUUAUAUAUUGGCUCGCGAAUAAAACGAUAAUCGUGAUAAUGGAACUUGCACUAUCACUCGAACGUAUCUGAAAACUUACAUAUCUUUAACUAUAGCUAUACAAUUUAAUUUAAUUUGAAAUCAGAAAUAAACGAAGUUACGAUAACGGAAUUUACGUGUGAUGCUACUCAAUUGAUUUUUAAAAGUUAAUGUGCAAGAAAAUUGUCAUUUGUAAUUGUUAGAUCUUUUUUCGUUAAAGCUAACUUUCAAAUUUUUUCAUUUUUAGAUUAUACGACAUAUAAAGAAUGUUCUUGUAAACACAGAUAGAAAGACUUUCAAAUUUAAUUGAAGCUAUGAUAUUUAAAAUCGUAAAUUUAUUUACAACGUUAUUAUUUAUCACACACUGAGUAUGUGAACGCGACAGUCAAAAUAAACAUUUCUAUUUAAUAAUAUUCACAAGUUCUACUAAUAUUUUGAUCAACUUCAAUGCGCCUAUAGUUAUGACGAAGCUUCGAUAAUACGAAUUAGCAUAACGAUAAAAGAAAGCAUAGGAUCAUUGAAUCUCUUUUGGCAUAGAACUUCGAUAAUACCACUUUAAUAUGCUAAGGAUUAAAAAACCUUGAUUUAUAUUACAAUGUCACAAUGAAAUUUCUCUAACAAUUAACCUAUUGCUAUUGCAAAUUCAAUUUUCUAUUUAAAUAUUUAAUCGCCAGGGUAAUUAACAACCGAUCAUCGAUCAGUCUAACAAGUUCUUAAAAAUUUCAUCGAAUCAUCACCGAAGCUUAAAAAAGUGUACCCAUGGAGCUGCAUAGAAAAAAUUAAACCAAUUAACCCGGACGAGUACCAGAGCACCGUCAAGAUUUUUACGAAGUGGCACAAAUUUCAUCAGUAAACAGAUAAAUCAAAUUCUGCUGUACAAACGAGCACUUAUCGUUCUUCAAAAAAUUCGUUUGAUCUUUCCCCGCAAUCCAGUGACCUGGAAUCGAACUAAAAAAAAGAAGAAACAAGGAAAAACUAGCAAUAGAAAAAAAGAGUAAAAAAAGAGCAUUUUUAGAAAUCUAGUUGGCAAUUAAUUUAGCUCUCUAAAAUCCCAUCGAGAGUGCCCUCCGCGGCCUCCAAAUCGAUCCAGGGUCUAAAGUCUAAGGAUCGGUUUCAGGGGUUCGAUGAUGUGCGUAUCGUGUGUAUAUACAGCACACGUAACGCGCACGCUCGCGUGUUUCCGUUUCUUCUUGUGGCGAAAACGCGCGCGUGCGCGCGUGCCAAAGGAAGCCCGAUCGCGGGGAGAACGAUCAUCUCUGACCCCGUAAUCCAUGACCAAUCUCGACACAACUUUUCCAAUUUAGAGGCCAGCAACGGCCCGAUACUCAGCCAAGAACGUUCGACGUUAUCGUCCUCUUAUUGUUGCUCUAAUUCCGGGCCCCUUUCCGAAACUUGCGGCGAUCUUCGCCUGGUAACAGUGGAGAUCGCAUCGAGACACACUAUCUGUGGUAAUCGAGAAUACUGCAAUAGGGAGAAUUAAGCGAGAAACUCGAGAUACAGGAAGUUAAACGGUAUAGGGACUUGGCAGUAAGCUUCGCACUUCCUUCGUAGAAGAUGGCGACACUGAUUAUUUUUGGUAUUUUGGUUUCGUCUGAUAAGAAAGGAUGUAGAUAGCGUUAUUGUGCUCUUUGUCUCAUUGUUGGGUAAUGGUUAAAUGGCAUUACUCGCAAUUGUGUAGAGAUUUUAUUGUAGUGUAAAUAUAUGUUAUUUUACUGUAGUACCGCGUGGUUUUGUGAUUGAUUUCUUUGUUUCAUAGCCAAUUAACACGUUCGGUAGUGUUACAUGUGUAUCGUAUAUGAUCGUUUAUGAAAAUUAUUGUUACUAUUAUUGAAACAAUUUAUGUUCUUAUAUGUAGUGAUACAUCGAGCAACAAUAAUUUUCUUAUGAUAAAACGUAUUAGUUUCCAGAAAUACUUGAAUAGAUACAAAGGAAACAAGUUAUAUUAUCUUAUCUUUUCACUUUGUAGGUUAUGUGUAAAGUUACAAUGUAGAUGACUACAGGUCGUAUGAUUUCUGAUUGGUGUUUGAUAAUAACAUAGAACGCUGCAAUUAAAAUUGCGAAACAACGCGGUACAACGUGAUUUAACAAUUUAAAGUACUUUAUUAGACAUUAACGGAAAAUUACGUGUUUGGUUGUUCGCAGUUGGUUUGGCAUGAUUGGAUAACGUAGUGUUAUGAUACAUAGCCAUGUACGAUAUUGCGUAGACAAUGAUUCACCUCGUGUUAUUCAAGACUAUAGUACUACACGAUCAAUGUCAAUUUACAAGGAAUGUUGAAUUACGUAACAGAUUCUGCUAUGCAAGAAACGUAGUACUACGUGAUCGAUUGAGUUCCGUUGGAAGUGUUAUGUAUUCGACUUGAUCAAUAUUGUUCAGAGAAGAUGUAAUACUACGUAAUCAAUCUCUUUUUGCAAGGGAUAUUACACCACUUGGAAAACAAGUGGUCAAGUGCACAAGCAUCGUGCUUCGACAAAUGUAUAAUUCAUAGUACCAUAAAUUUUUCUUUUAAGAAAAUAGUAUCCAUACCAUUGUCAGCAUCAUUACUACUUAACACUGUAAAGCAUUAAUUCGUAACGAAAACUUGUACUUAUCAUUAUUAUAGUGAAUUUACAGUGAAAAAAAUGUGUCCGUAACAAUUAAUUUAUCACAUUGUAACCUUUCUCCUUUAGAAAAUGGUAUCAUUUACUUACAUUUAUAUUUUUCUACAUUAGAUUAAUUUGCAGCGUUCUUUCUUUGUUCUUCUUUUCGAGAUAAUACAGUUUAUAUCUUUCAAUUCAAAUCAUUCACAAUAUUACAUAAAAAAUAUAAUAUGGUAUUUCACUAAUUUAAUACCUAUAUACUAAAAAUACUUAUUUUUCUGUUCAAAAUACUUGGAAUGUCACGUGAAAGAAGCAGUACUACAUUUUAAUAUGUAACCUUUUUAAUAGGAUCUACGCUUUUAUAAUCGAUAGAAAUGAAUAUUUCUUUCUACGAACCAUAAUACAUAUUGUAGUAAUGUACGUAAAGAAACUUCCUUAUAAUAAACAAACAGAACUGACCAAUUCGAAAUCUUUUAUCAAUGUCAAACCAUUAAAACACUGUAAUAGAAUUUAAUAUAGAAACCAUAAAAAUACGUUUUCCUUGGGAUGGUCAUAGCAUAAUUUCGUUGCGAGACAACCGUUGAUUUCACAGAUAGCGUGUGUCAAUGCCUACAUAGGUCUCAAUAACGAGACGACAGAACAGCAACGAAUACCUCCAUUAUAUCAAAACCGCGGUUGUCUGAAUAUCGGGCAAUCACGGUGCGUGUAUCAUCGAACACGAAAUCGAAUGGCGAUGGGAAUCGUGUCCGGUAACGUUUGGUUGAUCAAAGGAAUGCCGAAACUUCGGUUUCGCUUGUCGUCCGUCCGAUUGUUCGAUACGGCAAGAAGCAACGGUACAACGCGUGUAUAGCAUCAUGACGUGCGUAAUGUUCCGUAAUGCUUCGUUGUAAUCCCCGAACUCCGAAGGAAUUCAGAAAUCGUCAUUCGAUCUCGACAUACAAGCGUACAGAAUCCGGCUAACUAACGGCUGGUAGAAUGGAAACGGCGCGUGUCGUUAUUAUUUUGGUGAUAUGUUAUACAUGAUGGCUGUGACAAGUCACAGUGUAUUGUUCUCUGCGCCUACUGGACAAAGUACGGGUAAAAAAAAAACAGGGCGAUGAAAAAACUUACUGCUAGACCACAACUAGUUUCAAUACAUUACCUGGCAUUAAAACAAACGAAACAAAGGAACAAACUAACAAACAUCAUAUAUGGUUCAUGCGGUACACAUACGCGCACACGCGCGCGCGCGCUACACACGACGUAGAGACACGUGGACGUGGACACGUGGACACACAACGGCACACGACCAGAGAAUAUCGCGAUUUGUCGCUUUUUUUCUUCUUCUUCUUUUUUAUUUUUCUUUAGUUUAUUCGUUGCAUUUUGUUGCGUCACACAACGUGAGAUAUACACACGUGUGUAUAAUAAUGCGCGUGUAAUUAUUUACACGUAUAUACUAUUCACGCAUGGGAGCGCGCGCAUAGUGGAUAUGCAUACGCAUGGUUUGAAUCAUUCAGAAAACAAAAGAAAAAAGGAAAAAGAUAACGAGACACAAACGAACAAAGGAACGAUAUACAUAUACAUAUACAUUGAAUUAAAACUGAACAUCCAACCUUCUGUUCUACAAGAGACAGUCACAAGUCCAUUUAAAAAAGACGAAAGCGUUUGUCGUAACACAACUCUUCACGGUAAUAAAUGAACAGCUAAAUGGUCAUCAAUGGUCAAAAGUACAAGUAACGAUAUGGCGGUUAUUGUAUAUUGUACAAGUACGCGACGCGUGCGCGUGUUUGACACAGGGCGCGCCUCGAUCACGUCGAAAGUGGCGUGCUGGUGGACGCGCGCGCGCGCCGCGUACAGGUGUGGCAACAGCGUUACUAAUCAACAAAAUUUAAAGUACACAGAAACCAAGGAAUGACACAAAAAAGAAACAACGCAACGACAACUGAACAAACCGAAAGAAAGGACGAGGAGAAAGAAAAAAUGGAAAAAGAAUCGAGGGACAAGGGUCGAACAAACGAACGAGGGAACAAAAAUAAAACUGAGGCACUGAGACGAUGGGGUAAUCGAGGAGGACGACCGAUCAUCAAUCGGGGCUGAACGUUCUCCAGGACGUUCAGACGGCUAUAUCGCGAUGGACACACCGGUAAGAACGAAAGAACGAAACCAAAAAUUCGAGGGAGACAAAAUGACAAAAGCAGAACCGAUUGAAACAAAAAGCCAAAAAGAAGAAAAAGAGGGAAAGAAUAAAGGGACGUGAUAAACUGACGGACAAAAAUAAAAGAAAAAAGAAAGAAAAAA